AGUGAACGCUGGCGGUAGGCCUAACACAUGCAAGUCGAACGGAAGCACAGUAAGAGCUUGCUCUUACGGGUGGCGAGUGGCGGACGGGUGAGGAAUAAAUCGGAAUCUACUUUUUCGUGGGGGAUAACGUAGGGAAACUUACGCUAAUACCGCAUACGACCUACGGGUGAAAGCAGGGGAUCUUCGGACCUUGCGCGAUUGAAUGAGCUGAUGUCGGAUUAGCUAGUUGGCGGGGUAAAGGCCCACCAAGGCGACGAUCCGUAGCUGGUCUGAGAGGAUGAUCAGCCACACUGGAACUGAGACACGGUCCAGACUCCUACGGGAGGCAGCAGUGGGGAAUAUUGGACAAUGGGCGCAAGCCUGAUCCAGCCAUACCGCGUGAGUGAAGAAGGCCUUCGGAUUGUAAAGCCCUUUUGUUGGGAAAGAAAAGCAGCAGGUUAAUACCCCGCUGUUCUGACGGUACCCAAAGAAUAAGCACCGGCUAACUUCGUG
RNAcentral lists this ribosomal RNA (492 nucleotides) under uncultured bacterium. RNAcentral's name for it is "partial 16S ribosomal RNA". It matches the Rfam family "Bacterial small subunit ribosomal RNA", at positions 29 to 507 of the family's 1533-position model. The record is from RNAcentral.